UUCUCUUUUAGCCUCUCGUUCGCCUCCACGAUGAUUACCGAUGUUGACUCUUCUUUCUCGGGCCAAAAUCUCAAUCUACAAAUGUGGUGAGUGGGGUCUGUAUAUUAAAGUUUAACGCUUUAGAACACCAGGCAGUCGACUCAUAGCUAUAUACCAACCAAGCAAUCGAGAUCAAACGAACUCCCCAUCUCACUGGUUCAUUGAAAGUUUCGUGACUUUUAUUUUCCUUCCUUUUGCCAGGUUUUAAUGGCCACGGGUGGCCAUGAGGUGCAGCUCAGCUUCAUUGAUGAUACAUCUACUCGAGGUCAAAGGCCUCGAGAAAUCCGCACCGGCACUUUGCCAGUGGCCACAUGGGAAAGUGCAGGCUCACUUUGAGUUGUCGACAUACAAUCAGUGACCGAAAGCAAUUGUUGUAGUAAUUGCUCGCCGGACCACCCCCCCAAUGAGGGCCAUAAGUGAAAAAUCCCAGAAUGUCUAGAACACUGGUCGAUUUGAUUUGAUUUGAUGGAGAAUGCCACAGCACUUUUCUUCGAUUGUGAAUUUACGUGGGACCCCAAAGGAAGAAAAUAUUAGGUGAGGUGUCUUCGGGAUCCAUGGCCGGUUUAGCCUAUCAAUCAUGCGGCGAAACCGCUCGAAGCCAAAGGUUUUCGGCUAAACAGAGGGGGACGACUUCUUCUCUGUAUUGGUCGGCCGGGGAUCACAAAACCAACAGCAAGCAAUUUUGACCACCGAAAGCGCCGUCUUCCGUAUCCCGCAAGCAUAGGACGCGGAGCGGAACCAGAACUGAUCUCGUGGGAAGCAACCGUUUCGCUAUAAAACGGCUAACAGCAUAUAAAACCAAUGGGCAUAUCCGCCCUUGUCUCGACCCACCACGAGCUGCCUCGCCAAAAGAUCGGGAAAUUCUUGCCGACUGUUUGAAUCUUGCGGAAACCCAGGUGCGAUUCCCAUGGGACCUACAGGAUCAUCAGCGGUUUGGUCACCGAUUCGAUCCACAUUUGACUCCUGGUCCAUGCGAGAAUUUUCAAUUCCCUGACCCAUUUGAGCUCCCACCUUCCCCGAGCUCCCAAGAGACGCCGAUAACACAUCUUCUGGUCGUUCUGUUUUAGACUGAACAGCGGCUGAAGCAAAGAACAGAGCUGCUCUGCAAUUGUUUAACACAUGCAGGGAGGCGUGGAAGAGGAUCAUGAGAAUGUAAUUGCAGCAACAUAACCGAGGAUAGCUUAAAAGUCGUUGAAUGACUUCGAUGUAAUCUCCAUAAAUCAUAAGUUUCUGCAAAAAGAAGUAAAAAACUCUCUUUUGAACGAACCAUCAUGAUGAACAAAUUUCUCUCAUCAAAACCGAAUGCUUCUACAAUGAAUAAUUAAGAACAGUGGAUAUCGAUGAUUUUAUGAUCAUGUUGGAGACCAAACUGGAUUUGGGUCUUAACGAUUACAGAUAAACCAAAAUCAGUAUAGGGCACAUGUUUAUCCCAGCUGAUAUGGCCAGGGCGUACGCAGUUCGCAGAAUAGCUUGCCUGAUUGAGUUUUGCUGAGGGUAACACAACAAAUCACAUUUUCUUUCUCCAAAGAGGGAAAGUUAGAGCAUCAUUCAUCAACUCGUAUGCAAACUGUGUUGUCAAGUGAACCCACAGCUCAUUUGGUUGAAUAUGGUUGUGGAGUCAGUCCUCCAACAGAGCGUGGGUUCAAAGAGGAAGGGCUAAAUUGGACAGAAACUGCGGACGAGAUUUGAUAUGUCGCACAGGUCCAAAGCAUCUGUAUUCGUCAUUUCAGUACUCGUAAGAAGCAAACCUGUCUUCAAGGAAGUCUGCCGAGUGAAGACUAUGGACUGAACUGUAAAAUUUAAUUCUCUUAAGGUGCCAGAGCUGCAAAACUAGUGCAUUAAGAUAACUUUGCCCCAACUAGAAUUCAGGUUGUCUGAGAAUCCAGAGCAACGGUCGAGAGAGUUUACUUUAUCACAGAUCAAAAGCAUGUAAUCUUGUCAGGCACAAGAAACGUAAAGCUACCAUUAGACAUUCUUAGUAUGCCACUAUACCAUGAAACAAAUGUCGCAACUAACUUCAAUUCAUCGACAGCAAAUAGAGCCUCGAGACCUUACCAAUAUCCAGUAGAGGAAUCUUCAACUGACCUCCAUUGGCAGCGGCAAAAAGAGCCCAGCACAAUGGUUUUUCAAUCCACUCUGCCAGGCUCGAGUUCAAUCAAACCGGAAGCUUUCCUUCAUCGCCAUUUUCAACCACAGACAAUUGCAGUUUGCACACGCUUUUAUUCCUUACUCAUCACAAGCAUGCCCAGGUCAUAUCCCGCAAGCAUAGGACACGUGGCAGAACCAAGACUGAUCUCGUGGGAAGCAACUGUUUCACUAAAAACAGCUAAGAGCAUAUCAAACCAAUGGGCAUAUCUGCCUUUGUCUCAACCCACCACGAGCUGCCUCGCCAAAAGCUUGGGAAAUAUUUGCCUACUGUUGGAAUCCUGUGAAACACAGGUGGGAUUUCCACAGGACCUACAGGAUCAUCAGCAGUUGGUGACAGAUCCAGUCCAUAUAUGACUUGGGGUCCAUGUGAUAAUUUUCAAUUCCCAGACCCAUUUGAGCUCCCACCUUCCCCGAGCCCCAAGAGAUCCCGAUAACACAUCUUCCGGUUGUUCUGUUUUAGACUCUACAACAGCUGAAAAAAAGAACAGAGCUGCUCUGCAAUUGUUCAACACAUACAGGGAGGUGUGGAAUAGAGUCACGAGAGUGUGAUGGAAAAAUGUAACGCAGAAAAGCAUAAUCAUGGUUGAAAGAGUUCGAUAGAAUCUGCACAUGCUGAGGUAUUUGCAAAAGCUUCUGCAAAAGAAAUACAAAGCUCUCUUUUUGAAUGAACCAUAAGUCCAUGAAUCCAGGGAACAAUGCACAAUGAACAAAUUCUCGCAUUGAAACCCGAAUGCUCAUAUUAUGAAUAAUUACAAACAGCAAACAUUUUAUAACCAUAUGGGAGGCACAGAAACCAAAACAACGGUACGGCACGUGUUUUGCGCUGCUGAUAUGGCAAGGGCGCAUGUUGCUCACACUGUAGCUUGCCUGAUCGAGUUUUGCUAAGUGCUACACAGCAACUUGACAUUUUUCCUUUUCUCCAAAGAGAGAAACCGGUAUGCAUUAUUAGUUAACUUGUAUGCACACUACAUUGUCAAGUGCAGCCACAGCCCAGUCAGUUGAAUGAGGAGUCAGUCCUCCGACAGAGCGUGGAUUUAAAGAGGAAGAACUAAGUUGGACAGAACUGAGAACGAAAUUGAUAGGUAGCACAAGUCCAAAGCAUCUGUAUGUGACAUUUCAGUACUCAUACAUUAGUUGCGCACCUCAUGCAGAGAACACCUCAUAAGAAGCAAACCUAUUUUAGAAGGAGUCUGCAUUAUUAAGACUAUGGGCCGAACUGUAAAAUUUAAUUCUCUUAAGGUGCCAGAGCUGCAAAACUAGUGCAAUGAGAUAACUUUGCCCCAACUAGAAUUCAG
RNAcentral lists this long non-coding RNA (3482 nucleotides) under Eucalyptus grandis. RNAcentral's name for it is "long non-coding RNA (EGRA_LNC002534)". The record is from RNAcentral. Lineage: Eukaryota; Viridiplantae; Streptophyta; Magnoliopsida; Myrtales; Myrtaceae.